Molecule: ribosomal RNA, 153 nt
Filed under: uncultured fungus
Lineage: Eukaryota; Fungi
Description: 5.8S ribosomal RNA
Rfam family: 5.8S ribosomal RNA
About the family: 5.8S ribosomal RNA (5.8S rRNA) is a component of the large subunit of the eukaryotic ribosome. It is transcribed by RNA polymerase I as part of the 45S precursor that also contains 18S and 28S rRNA.
Source: RNAcentral
AACUUUCAACAACGGAUCUCUUGGCUCUGGCAUCGAUGAAGAACGCAGCGAAAUGCGAUAAGUAAUGUGAAUUGCAGAAUUCAGUGAAUCAUCGAAUCUUUGAACGCACAUUGCGCCCCUUGGUAUUCCGAGGGGCAUGCCUAUUCGAGCGUC